AACUCCAAGAAUACGCGAAGGAGGUGGCCCGGGUCGGCAUCGGCGCCGUCCGGCGCGGGCCACGGGCCCGCUUCCAAGUGCGUCUGCGCGCCGGCCACCCACGCCGGGUCCUUCAAGUGCCGCUUCCACCGCACCAACUCCCAGGGCCAGGGAAGUCGCCCUUCUUCGCCCCCUUCACCGGUCGCGGCCAACGCGGUGCCGCGGCACCCGGCCUCGCCGUCUUCGUCCUCCGCACCGUCGCGAGCCAGUGACGCAGCCCAAGCAUCGGCCUCGAGAAUCAAGAACACUCGACAAUGGAGAGGGAAGGGAAGAUCAUAUACAUGUCAUAAGAAAGGGAGUUUAUUUACUGCUCCCUCGAUGUAUUGUUUCCUUUGUUUGGAGAUUGAUUACCAUCCGUGA
This 399-nucleotide ribosomal RNA is filed under the name Triticum aestivum (bread wheat). Its description in RNAcentral is "partial small subunit ribosomal RNA". Lineage: Eukaryota; Viridiplantae; Streptophyta; Magnoliopsida; Poales; Poaceae. The record is from RNAcentral.